AUUGAACGCUGGCGGCAGGCCUAACACAUGCAAGUCGAACGGUAACAGGAAACAGCUUGCUGUUUCGCUGACGAGUGGCGGACGGGUGAGUAAUGUCUGGGAAACUGCCUGAUGGAGGGGGAUAACUACUGGAAACGGUAGCUAAUACCGCAUAACGUUGCAAGACCAAAGAGGGGGACCCUCGGGCCUCUUGCCAUCGGAUGUGCCCAGAUGGGAUUAGCUUGUUGGUGGGGUAACGGCUCACCAAGGCGACGAUCCCUAGCUGGUCUGAGAGGAUGACCAGCCACACUGGAACUGAGACACGGUCCAGACUCCUACGGGAGGCAGCAGUGGGGAAUAUUGCACAAUGGGCGCAAGCCUGAUGCAGCCAUGCCGCGUGUAUGAAGAAGGCCUUCGGGUUGUAAAGUACUUUCAGCGGGGAGGAAGGGAGUAAAGUUAAUACCUUUGCUCAUUGACGUUACCCGCAGAAGAAGCACCGGCUAACUCCGUG
Molecule: ribosomal RNA, 490 nt
Filed under: uncultured bacterium
Lineage: Bacteria
Description: partial 16S ribosomal RNA
Rfam family: Bacterial small subunit ribosomal RNA
Source: RNAcentral